GUCAUAUGCUUGUCUCAAAGAUUAAGCCAUGCAUGUCUCAGUACAAGCCAAAUUAAGGUGAAACCGCGAAAGGCUCAUUAAAUCAGUUAUGGUUCCUUAGAUCGUACCCACAAUUACUUGGAUAACUGUGGUAAUUCUAGAGCUAAUACAUGCAAACAGAGCUCCGACCGGAAACGGGAGGAGUGCUUUUAUUAGAUCAAAACCAAUCGGUGGCGGGUUCGCUCGUCAUCGUACAACUUGGUGACUCUGAAUAAC
RNAcentral lists this ribosomal RNA (255 nucleotides) under Thyestetha lubrica. RNAcentral's name for it is "partial 18S ribosomal RNA". It matches the Rfam family "Eukaryotic small subunit ribosomal RNA", at positions 23 to 260 of the family's 1831-position model. Lineage: Eukaryota; Metazoa; Arthropoda; Insecta; Coleoptera; Curculionidae. The record is from RNAcentral. RNAcentral also lists the same sequence under 2 other names.